AUUGAACGCUGGCGGCAGGCCUAACACAUGCAAGUCGAGCGGAUGAAGGGAGCUUGCUCCUGGAUUCAGCGGCGGACGGGUGAGUAAUGCCUAGGAAUCUGCCUGGUAGUGGGGGGUAACGUCCGGAAACGGGCGCUAAUACCGCAUACGUCCUGAGGGAGAAAGUGGGGGAUCUUCGGACCUCACGCUAUCAGAUGAGCCUAGGUCGGAUUAGCUAGUUGGUGGGGUAAAGGCCUACCAAGGCGACGAUCCGUAACUGGUCUGAGAGGAUGAUCAGUCACACUGGAACUGAGACACGGUCCAGACUCCUACGGGAGGCAGCAGUGGGGAAUAUUGGACAAUGGGCGAAAGCCUGAUCCAGCCAUGCCGCGUGUGUGAAGAAGGUCUUCGGAUUGUAAAGCACUUUAAGUUGGGAGGAAGGGCAGUAAGUUAAUACCUUGCUGUUUUGACGUUACCAACAGAAUAAGCACCGGCCAACUUCGUG
This 484-nucleotide ribosomal RNA is filed under the name uncultured bacterium. RNAcentral describes it as "partial 16S ribosomal RNA". It matches the Rfam family "Bacterial small subunit ribosomal RNA", at positions 30 to 507 of the family's 1533-position model. The record is from RNAcentral.